Molecule: long non-coding RNA, 366 nt
Organism: Equus quagga
Lineage: Eukaryota; Metazoa; Chordata; Mammalia; Perissodactyla; Equidae
Exons: 3
Source: RefSeq, a predicted model, not a curated record
AGGCGACAAGACACCAGAUGCCACCUUCUUGGGCCCUUUCUUGGGUGACUCAGCUGGAAGGGGGAUGCCAGAGUCUUCAUAUACCUUGCGCUUCACGGUGGCCUUUAUCUGAGCCCUGAAGAGAAGAGAGAGCAGGGCAGAUGGAGUGUGAAGAGUCCCUGAACUGAGGAGUAGAAAAGGCCCAUCUCCUAAUUCUCUUCUGGGAGAGAUGUAUGGAUGUGCAAUGCUACCAGUCCUGAAGGGGAUGCUAACAAAACUUGCAACAAAGUAGGAAAGAUGUUGAGCUGGGAGUUCUGACGAAGAUGGAACAACGGGUACGCAGGAAGGAAGCUGCCCACCCUCCCUUUCUCUGCCAGCGAACCCUCC